Molecule: transfer RNA, 84 nt
Filed under: Gemmatimonadota bacterium
Lineage: Bacteria; Pseudomonadati; Gemmatimonadota
Also listed under: 1 other name
Description: Gemmatimonadetes bacterium (marine sediment metagenome) tRNA-Leu
Rfam family: tRNA
About the family: Transfer RNA (tRNA) molecules are approximately 80 nucleotides in length. Their secondary structure includes four short double-helical elements and three loops (D, anti-codon, and T loops).
Source: RNAcentral
GCCCGGGUGGCGGAAUUGGCAGACGCGACGGACUCAAAAUCCGUUGGGCUUCGGCCCUUGAGGGUUCGAAUCCCUCCCCGGGCA